GCUGUGGUGAUGUAAUGGUCAGCAUAUCUGUCUAGUAAGCAAGAAGACCCGGGUUUGAGUCCCGGCCACAGCA
This 73-nucleotide transfer RNA is filed under the name Schistocerca americana (American grasshopper). RNAcentral describes it as "tRNA-Thr". It matches the Rfam family "tRNA". Rfam says of the family: Transfer RNA (tRNA) molecules are approximately 80 nucleotides in length. The record is from RNAcentral. RNAcentral also lists the same sequence under 3 other names. Lineage: Eukaryota; Metazoa; Arthropoda; Insecta; Orthoptera; Acrididae.